GGGGAUAUAGCUCAGUUGGUAGAGUGCUUGCCUUGCAUGCACAAGGCCCUGGGUUCAAUCCCCAGUAUCCCCC
Molecule: transfer RNA, 73 nt
Filed under: Ictidomys tridecemlineatus (thirteen-lined ground squirrel)
Lineage: Eukaryota; Metazoa; Chordata; Mammalia; Rodentia; Sciuridae
Description: tRNA-Ala (TGC) (tRNA-Ala-TGC-9-1)
Rfam family: tRNA
About the family: Transfer RNA (tRNA) molecules are approximately 80 nucleotides in length.
Source: Rfam by way of RNAcentral